AACGAACGCUGGCGGCAUGCCUAACACAUGCAGGUCGAACGAGACCUUCGGGUCUAGUGGCGCACGGGUGCAUAACGCGUGGGAACCUGCCCUUAGGUUCGGAAUAACUCCCCGAAAGGGGUGCUAAUACCGGAUAAUGUCUUCGGACCAAAGAUUUAUCGCCUUUGGAUGGGCCCGCGUUGGAUUAGCUAGUUGGUAGGGUAAAAGCCUACCAAGGCGACGAUCCAUAGCUGGUCUGAGAGGAUGAUCAGCCACACUGGGACUGAGACACGGCCCAGACUCCUACGGGAGGCAGCAGUGGGGAAUAUUGGACAAUGGGCGAAAGCCUGAUCCAGCAAUGCCGCGUGAGUGAUGAAGGCCUUAGGGUUGUAAAGCUCUUUUACCCGGGAUGAUAAUGACAGUACCGGGAGAAUAAGCUCCGGCUAACUCCGUG
This 433-nucleotide ribosomal RNA is filed under the name uncultured bacterium. RNAcentral describes it as "partial 16S ribosomal RNA". It matches the Rfam family "Bacterial small subunit ribosomal RNA", at positions 29 to 507 of the family's 1533-position model. The record is from RNAcentral.